This 941-nucleotide ribosomal RNA is filed under the name uncultured Bacteroidota bacterium. Its description in RNAcentral is "bacterial SSU rRNA". It matches the Rfam family "Bacterial small subunit ribosomal RNA", at positions 93 to 1053 of the family's 1533-position model. The record is from RNAcentral. Lineage: Bacteria; Pseudomonadati; Bacteroidota.
GACCGGCGCACGGGUGCUAACGCGUAUGCAAUCUACCUUUUACAGGGGGAUAGCCAGAGAAAUUUGGAUUAAUACCCCAUAGUAUAUAUGAAUGGCAUCAUUUAUAUAUUAAAGUCACAACGGUUAAAGAUGAGCAUGCGUCCCAUUAGUUAGUUGGUAAGGUAACGGCUUACCAAGACGAUGAUGGGUAGGGGUCCUGAGAGGGAGAUCCCCCACACUGGUACUGAGACACGGACCAGACUCCUACGGGAGGCAGCAGUGAGGAAUAUUGGACAAUGGGCGCAACGUCGAUCCAGCCAUGCCGCGUGCAGGAUGACGGUCCUAUGGAUUGUAAACUGCUUUUAUACGGGAAGAAACCCUCGAACGUGUUCGAGAUUGACGGUACCGUAGAAUAAGGAUCGGCUAACUCCGUGCCAGCAGCCGCGUAAUACGGAGGAUCCAAGCGUUAUCCGGAAUCAUUGGGUUUAAAGGGUCCGUAGCGGCCCGAUAAGUCAGUGGUGAAAUCUCCCGGCUCAACCGGAAAUUGCCAUUGAUACUGCAAGUCUUGAAUUAUUGGGAAGUAACUAGAAUAUGUAGUGUAGCGGUGAAAUGCUUAGAGAUUACAUGGAAUACCAAUUGCGAAGCAGGGUUACUAUCAAUAUAUUGACGCUGAUGGACGAAAGCGUGGGUAGCGAACAGGAUUAGAUACCCUGGUAGUCCACGCCGUAAACGAUGGAUACUAGCUGUUCGGUCGCAAGACUGAGUGGCUAAGCGAAAGUGAUAAGUAUCCCACCUGGGGAGUACGAACGCAAGUUGAAACUCAAGGAAUUGACGGGGGCCGCACAAGCGUGGGAGCAUGUGGUUAAUUCGAUGAUACGCGAGGACCUUACCAAGGCUUAAUGUAGAUUGACAGGUCCGGAACAGAUUUCCUUCGGGCAAUUACAAGGUGCUGCAUGGUUUCG